AAAAUAAAAAUGCCAAGUUUUCACUUUUCCUUCAAGCAUUGACAGAAAUUCUUAUAAAAUUCCUUCAUGUAUAAAUCAUCAUGUCGAUUCGUCAAGACUUCUUUACAAUCUUUAGAAAAUGUCUGCACAAAUUCUUUAAUGAGUUAUUGAUUUGAUAAAGUUGUGAAUAAAAGAAGCAACAACAACAAACAUAAAAAUUAAACAAUAUCAAUUACAAAGCCCCAAAGGAACAGGCGGCACGCGGAACGAAGGAACAAGAACAAUGAAAACGAAACCAAUGAAGGCAAUGGCCGCAAACAACGCGACGUCAGCUGCUGCGUAGGCGUUGACGUUGACUUUGACGUCGGCAUCGCAGCUGACGUUGCAGCCGGCGUUGGCAGCAUGCUGCGUUAAUUCGUUUUUAAUAAAGCAAAACCCUAUAUUCAAUGCCAGGCCCAGUCAGAGGCCCGGCCCGGCGAUAUGCUCCAUAUCGCUUUAAUCCACAAAAACUGAUCGCUGCCUUUGAGGUGCGGUCAUCUGGGCAACUUCCGGGCUUUAACUACACUUUCAUUCAUUCGCAAUCUUCGAGUAACUGGGCCAACUGCUUCCACUUGAUUAAUUGCUGCGAUACUGCGAGAGUGUGUAAAUAUUUUGGAUAUGUGGCCGGGGCACGACCUGUGAUCGAGAAAUUUGACUCGUGCCAAGCAGAAAAUAAUUUUUACGUCUGUCAACUUUGAUUUAGCUGCUCAUUCAUCAAACGCAACGCGAAACCCGUUCCAAAAAAAAAAAAAAAAAACACAAAAAUCUCUCCUCAACCGGCGUUAAAUUUCUUUAGCAACAUUGUGGGUAAAACAUUAUCAAAUGACAAUAAAUUCAUAUUUUCUUGGCCCUAA
Drosophila virilis is the source of this 872-nucleotide non-coding RNA. NCBI's taxonomy places the organism in Eukaryota, Metazoa, Arthropoda, Insecta, Diptera, Drosophilidae. The record is from RefSeq and is a predicted model, not a curated record.